AGGGCUUUUGUGGCUUUGCCCGCCCAGCUGCUCUGUGCCAGGAGGAGGAGGAGACACCUGGAGCCUGUGACACCACGGCUUGCCUCGCUGAGGGUGGGUGGCAGUGACGGAGACUGCAGCGUGCUGGAACUGUAGGAGAGUGACCACGCUAGGAGGUCAGGCGGCUGCAGCCAGGGU
RNAcentral lists this long non-coding RNA (177 nucleotides) under Macaca mulatta (Rhesus monkey). RNAcentral's name for it is "lncRNA (ENSMMUG00000053618.1)". The record is from RNAcentral. Lineage: Eukaryota; Metazoa; Chordata; Mammalia; Primates; Cercopithecidae.